GCUAUUUCGAGGAGCUUCUAAUCCUAUUAGGUCUAAUGGCAUAAGGAAUCAGGAACUUGCAGACUAAAAGAGUCCAGGAUUGUCUCGGUAGGCAUCAAAUGAGCAUCUCCCUUCAACUCAAAUUGGGCAGACCUCAUUCAAAUCCAAGACAAUAAGUUAAAAUUUUUAGUUUACUGCCUACAGAACCAACUUUGUAUUGCCUUCAUUUAACUCACACUAUUACAAAUUAGUGGAAAUUCUGUGUAAGAAUCAACAAAGUUCACAUCAAGAAGAUGCUUAAUGUUAAAUGGCUCAUAGCAUGACAACCCUGAAACCACUAAAUAAGAGAGAAUCACCCAUUUGGCAGCAAAGGGCACUCCAAUGGUCUCUUAUAAUUCAGAUUUGAAAUAUAGUUAACAAAUUGGUGUGCUCAGUUCCCCAUGUGCAUCCAAUAAAAUGAUAAUAAUCAAUAAUUAAAAUUACCAUCAA
RNAcentral lists this unclassified non-coding RNA (468 nucleotides) under Hevea brasiliensis (rubber tree). The record is from RNAcentral. Lineage: Eukaryota; Viridiplantae; Streptophyta; Magnoliopsida; Malpighiales; Euphorbiaceae.